UACAGAGGUGGCAAGCGUUGUUCGGAAUUACUGGGCGUAAAGGGCGCGUAGGCGGCCAUCUAAGUCAGACGUGAAAUCCCCCGGCUUAACCUGGGAACUGCGUCUGAUACUGGACGGCUUGAGUAUGGGAGAGGGAUGUAGAAUUCCAGGUGUAGCGGUGAAAUGCGUAGAUAUCUGGAGGAACACCGGUGGCGAAGGCGGCAUCCUGGACCGACACUGACGCUGAGGAGCGAAAGCCAGGGGAGCAAACGGG
Molecule: ribosomal RNA, 253 nt
Filed under: uncultured bacterium
Lineage: Bacteria
Description: partial 16S ribosomal RNA
Rfam family: Bacterial small subunit ribosomal RNA
Source: RNAcentral